UUGAUUUUGACCACAUAUUAAUCAAUUAUAAAAGGACAAAAUGGUAACAUUAUAUAUCUCACAUUAACAAAACUUAAAUAAAAAAAAAGGAAGAAAAAAAAAAGAAGAAAACAAAAUAAAAAGGAAAAAAAAUCUUUUUCUUCCCCACCUCCAACCCAAAAAUUACACGGCUCUUCAGGGUCUUCCCAAAUCUCGCUACCCAUUUAAUCGUCGUGCCCUUCUCGAGCCUCAAGUCUCCAGAGGCAACUCGACUUAUAGAUCAAUUAUCCCGUCGAAACCGCGAAGGAUUUGGGUUGUAGAGUUCUGACAUCGGGCCGGGUCAAGCAAAGAAACCCUGUAUGGCGAAAUGAGAUCCUGAAGAGACUUGAAGAGUGUGAAAACAAACAAAACACCAUCUUCAAACUCCAAGUCGGAGGUGGAGAUUACCCUAUCCACAUGGAGGAGGACUGAGUCCGUCUGAAGGACAAGGAAGUUGAACCGCUUGGAAACGCAUCGGCAACGAAUGAGGGACUUAGUGUCAGAUAUGUUGUUGAAGAUGAGGAUUACAAUUGGGUCGACUAUGCAUUAGAAAUAGUAGAAUUUGGAUUCAUUCGGCUAGUGGGCCAUUUUUUCCUUUGCUCUAAGAAUUGAAUUGAAUGAGGAGAAUCGUAAACUGUAAUUACGAAUCUUCUGCAAUCCAAGUGUUAAUUAAAAAAUCACAUAAAAAAAUCGAGUCGAG
RNAcentral lists this long non-coding RNA (718 nucleotides) under Olea europaea subsp. europaea. Lineage: Eukaryota; Viridiplantae; Streptophyta; Magnoliopsida; Lamiales; Oleaceae. The record is from RNAcentral.